Molecule: ribosomal RNA, 688 nt
Filed under: uncultured fungus
Lineage: Eukaryota; Fungi
Description: eukaryotic LSU rRNA
Rfam family: 5.8S ribosomal RNA (bases 238-391)
Source: RNAcentral
CUUGGUCAUUUAGAGGAAGUAAAAGUCGUAACAAGGUUUCCGUAGGUGAACCUGCGGAAGGAUCAUUCAUAAUAAAGUGUUUUAUGGCACUUUUUAAAAAUCCAUAUCCACCUUGUGUGCAAUGUUAAGUCUCUCGUUCAAGACAGUUUCGACUGUUCUUGGGCAGGGUCUUUAUAUAUCAACUCUUUCUUAAACCAAUUUGUCUGAAAAAUAUUAUGAAUACUUAAUUCAAAAUACAACUUUCAACAACGGAUCUCUUGGCUCUCGCAUCGAUGAAGAACGCAGCGAAAUGCGAUACGUAAUGUGAAUUGCAGAAUUCAGUGAAUCAUCGAAUCUUUGAACGCAUAUUGCGCUCUCUGGUAUUCCGGAGAGCAUGCUUGUUUGAGUAUCAGUAAACACCUCAAAUCCUCACUUCUUUUUGAAGAGAGGAAUUGGACUUGAGCAAUCCCAACACUUGCAAGAGUGGCGGGUUGCUUGAAAUGCAGGUGCAGCUGGACUUUCCUCUGAGCUAAAAGCAUAUUUAUUUAAUCCCGUCAAACGGAUUAUUACUUUUGCUGCAGCUAACAUAAAGGAGAAUCGUUCUUGUGCUGACUGAUGCAGGAUUCACAGGUUGCUUCGGCGACUUGUAAACUCGAUCUCAAAUCAAGUAAGACUACCCGCUGAACUUAAGCAUAUCAAUAAGCGGAGA